Molecule: long non-coding RNA, 455 nt
Filed under: Ananas comosus (pineapple)
Lineage: Eukaryota; Viridiplantae; Streptophyta; Magnoliopsida; Poales; Bromeliaceae
Description: long non-coding RNA (ACOM_LNC025356)
Source: RNAcentral
CGCCGAUGUCAGCGGAGAAGCGUCGUCGUCGAAGGUGGCGGAGGAGGCAAAGAAGAAGGGAGAGGGAAAGGGCGAGAAGGGCGAGAGAGGGUGAGAUAGGCGUCGUCGUCGGAGGUGGUGGAGGAGGGUCAGAGAGGGGGAAAAAAAAAGUCGCAGCGCGGCCUCGGCGGGGUCGGAGGCGAGGAAAGCGGGCGGUGCGUGGGCGAGGGUAAGGAUGCGCCAGAUAAAACCGAAGCGGCCGCCUUCGUCUCCGCCUCUGCCUCCGCCGCUUUCUGGGAAGAGAAAGAAAAAAUGACGAGAGAAAAAGAAAAGGAGAGAGAAAAAGAUACAAGGAUAUUUUGGUCAGUUUGCUGAAAAUCCGGCUCGAAUCUGUAAAAUCGAAAAAGGUGACCCACUUUUAUAAAAACGCAAAACUAGUGGAUUUUUUAUUGAAAUUGCAUGACCAAGUUUUUUGU